UACGGGGGGGGGCAAGCGUGUUCGGAAUUACUGGGCGUAAAGGCUCGUAGGCGGCCAACUAAGUCGGAUGUGAAAUCCCCAGGCUCAACCUGGGAACGGCAUCCGAUACUGGAUGGCUUGAAUCCGGGAGAGGGAUGCAGAAUUCCAGGUGUAGCGGUGAAAUGCGUAGAUAUCUGGAGGAAUACCGGUGGCGAAGGCGGCAUCCUGGACCGGCAUUGACGCUGAGGAGCGAAAGGCUAGGGGAGCAAAGCGGG
Molecule: ribosomal RNA, 254 nt
Filed under: uncultured bacterium
Lineage: Bacteria
Description: partial 16S ribosomal RNA
Rfam family: Bacterial small subunit ribosomal RNA
Source: RNAcentral